RNAcentral lists this unclassified non-coding RNA (343 nucleotides) under soil metagenome. RNAcentral's name for it is "partial contains 5.8S ribosomal RNA, internal transcribed spacer 2, and large subunit ribosomal RNA". The stretch from base 1 to 120 matches the Rfam family "5.8S ribosomal RNA", at positions 35 to 154 of the family's 154-position model. The record is from RNAcentral.
GAUGAAGAACGUAGCGAAAUGCGAUAAGUAAUGUGAAUUGCAGAAUUCAGUGAAUCAUCGAAUCUUUGAACGCACAUUGCGCCCGCUAGUAUUCUGGCGGGCAUGCCUGUCCGAGCGUCAUUUCAACCCUCAAGCCCCCGGGCUUGGUGUUGGGGAUCGGCGAGCCUCUGCGCCCGCCGUCCCCUAAAUCUAGUGGCGGUCUCGCUGUAGCUUCCUCUGCGUAGUAGCACACCUCGCACUGGGAAACAGCGCGGCCACGCCGUUAAACCCCCAACUUCUGAACGUUUGACCUCGGAUCAGGUAGGAAUACCCGCUGAACUUAAGCAUAUCAAUAAGCGGAGGA